RNAcentral lists this ribosomal RNA (253 nucleotides) under uncultured bacterium. RNAcentral describes it as "partial 16S ribosomal RNA". It matches the Rfam family "Bacterial small subunit ribosomal RNA", at positions 524 to 776 of the family's 1533-position model. The record is from RNAcentral.
UACGGAGGGUGCAAGCGUUAUCCGGAUUCACUGGGUUGAAAGGGUGCGUAGGAGGGCAGGUAAGUCAGUGGUGAAAUCUCCGAGCUUAACUUGGAAACUGCCGUUGAUACUAUCUGUCUUGAAUAUUGUGGAGGUGAGCGGAAUAUGUCAUGUAGCGGUGAAAUGCUUAGAUAUGACAUAGAACACCAAUUGCGAAGGCAGCUCGCUACACAUAUAUUGACUCUGAGGCACGAAAGCGUGGGGAUCAAACAGG